AGAGUUUGAUCCUGGCUCAGAUUGAACGCUGGCGGCAUGCCUUACACAUGCAAGUCGAACGGGCUUUGGGGCUUGCUCCAAAGUUAGUGGCGAACGGGUGAGUAAUAUAUCGGAACGUGCCCUGGAGUGGGGGAUAACUAGUCGAAAGAUUAGCUAAUACCGCAUACGAUCCAAGGAUGAAAGUGGGGGACCGCAAGGCCUCACGCUCCUGGAGCGGCCGAUAUCUGAUUAGCUAGUUGGUGGGGUAAAGGCCCACCAAGGCAUCGAUCAGUAGCUGGUCUGAGAGGACGAUCAGCCACACUAGGACUGAGACACGGCCCAGACUCCUACGGGAGGUAGCAGUGGGGAAUUUUGGACAAUGGGGGAAACCCUGAUCCAGCAAUGCCGCGUGAGUGAAGAAGGCCUUCGGGUUGUAAAGCUCUUUUGUCAGGGAAGAAAAGGCUCGGGCUAAUAUCCUGGGUGAAUGACGGUACCUGAAGAAUAAGCACCGGCUAACUACGUGCCAGCAGCCGCGGUAAUACGUAGGGUGCGAGCGUUAAUCGGAAUUACUGGGCGUAAAGGGUGCGCAGGCGGUUGUGCAAGACAGAUGUGAAAUCCCCGGGCUUAACCUGGGAAUUGCAUUUGUGACUGCACGGCUAGAGUGUGUCAGAGGGGGGUAGAAUUCCACGUGUAGCAGUGAAAUGCGUAGAGAUGUGGAGGAAUACCGAUGGCGAAGGCAGCCCCCUGGGAUAACACUGACGCUCAUGCACGAAAGCGUGGGGAGCAAACAGGAUUAGAUACCCUGGUAG
This 788-nucleotide ribosomal RNA is filed under the name uncultured bacterium. RNAcentral's name for it is "bacterial SSU rRNA". It matches the Rfam family "Bacterial small subunit ribosomal RNA", at positions 8 to 793 of the family's 1533-position model. The record is from RNAcentral.